RNAcentral lists this ribosomal RNA (971 nucleotides) under uncultured Stenotrophomonas sp. RNAcentral describes it as "partial 16S ribosomal RNA". It matches the Rfam family "Bacterial small subunit ribosomal RNA", at positions 369 to 1144 of the family's 1533-position model. The record is from RNAcentral. Lineage: Bacteria; Pseudomonadati; Pseudomonadota; Gammaproteobacteria; Lysobacterales; Lysobacteraceae.
CAAUGGGCGCAAGCCUGAUCCAGCCAUACCGCGUGGGUGAAGAAGGCCUUCGGGUUGUAAAGCCCUUUUGUUGGGAAAGAAAUCCAGCUGGUUAAUACCCGGUUGGGAUGACGGUACCCAAAGAGUAAGCACCGGCUAACUUCGUGCCAGCAGCCGCGGUAAUACGAAGGGUGCAAGCGUUACUCGGAAUUACUGGGCGUAAAGCGUGCGUAGGUGGUCGUUUAAGUCCGUUGUGAAAGCCCUGGGCUCAACCUGGGAACUGCAGUGGAUACUGGACGACUAGAGUGUGGUAGAGGGUAGCGGAAUUCCUGGUGUAGCAGUGAAAUGCGUAGAGAUCAGGAGGAACAUCCAUGGCGAAGGCAGCUACCUGGACCAACACUGACACUGAGGCACGAAAGCGUGGGGAGCAAACAGGAUUAGAUACCCUGGUAGUCCACGCCCUAAACGAUGCGAACUGGAUGUUGGGUGCAAUUUGGCACGCAGUAUCGAAGCUAACGCGUUAAGUUCGCCGCCUGGGGAGUACGGUCGCAAGACUGAAACUCAAAGGAAUUGACGGGGGCCCGCACAAGCGGUGGAGUAUGUGGUUUAAUUCGAUGCAACGCGAAGAACCUUACCUGGCCUUGACAUGUCGAGAACUUUCCAGAGAUGGAUUGGUGCCUUCGGGAACUCGAACACAGGUGCUGCAUGGCUGUCGUCAGCUCUGUCGUGAGAUGUUUGGGUUAAAUUCCCGCAACCGAGCGCCAACCCUUUGUUCCUUANUUUGCCCACCACGNUAAUNGGUNGGGGNAACCUUUUUAAAGGGAAAAACCCGCCCCGGGUGGAACCAAAAACCCNNGNAANGGAAAAGGGUNGGGGGGAUUGAACCCUUNNAAAANUUUCANUUUCAUUUGGGGCCCCCUUUUAACGGGGGCCCAGGGGGGGCNUUUUNCCCCCAACCNNUUNNCCUUUNNCCNAAAUNGGGGGUNNGGGGG